CGCCAGACUCCUACGGGAGGCAGCAGUGGGGAAUAUUGCACAAUGGGGGAAACCCUGAUGCAGCGACGCCGCGUGAGUGAAGAAGUAUUUCGGUACGUAAAGCUCUAUCAGCAGGAAAGAAAAUGACGGUACCUGACUAAGAAGCCCCGGCUAACUACGUGCCAGCAGCCGCGGUAAUACGUAGGGGGCAAGCGUUAUCCGGAUUUACUGGGUGUAAAGGGAGCGUAGACGGCAGCGCAAGUCUGGAGUGAAAUGCCGGGGCCCAACCCCGGAACUGCUCUGGAAACUGUGAAGCUGGAGUGCAGGAGAGGUAAGCGGAAUUCCUGGUGUAGCGGUGAAAUGCGUAGAUAUCAGGAGGAACACCGGCGGCGAAGGCGGCUUACUGGACUGUAACUGACGUUGAGGCUCGAAGGCGUGGGGAGCAAACAGGAUUAGAUCCCCUAGUA
Molecule: ribosomal RNA, 446 nt
Filed under: uncultured bacterium
Lineage: Bacteria
Description: bacterial SSU rRNA
Rfam family: Bacterial small subunit ribosomal RNA
Source: RNAcentral